UUCCAGUCUGGUGGAUGUGAGAGCAAAAGGGGGAGUGAAAAAUAUUGGGGGGGGGGGGAAUGCCCAGUACCCCUUGCUACCGCUUGGAGUCAUCCCUGUGGGAGAGCAGGAGGUACAGCUACAGAUGCCUGGGCACCAGCAAGCCUGUUUUUGUUCCCCUGGUACCUGGCUACAACAUGCCAUCUGCAAGCACUUGUAGCAGCUAUGACAGGUGCUCCUGCUGGAACCCAGAGGCUUCUGUACGCAGAAGGUGCCUCAUUCAGAGGCUACUGUUUUCCUUCACCUUUGUGGGAACCAGAGUCAGCUCCCCAUCCUGCGGUGUAAUGAAGCUCCCAGACUGAUCCACAGAAGAGAGCUGGAGGCUGAUACUGAGGUUUUUUUAACCUACUAAUCCAGAUUUGUUCCAUAUUGUAACAGAGUGAUACACUAAGGGAAUGCUGCAUAAAUGUUUCUUCAGUGCUUAGCUAAGCUGGACCAAAAGGGGUUUUCCAAGGCACAUGCUGAAGCGCCUGGAUUUAUUUCACAAAUCUACAUCAUUUCAGAGAGGAGGUUUUUCACUGUAGGAUGAUACACAAC
This is a long non-coding RNA of Hemicordylus capensis (graceful crag lizard), 576 nucleotides long. RefSeq lists it as uncharacterized. The record is from RefSeq and is a predicted model, not a curated record. The transcript is spliced from 3 exons. NCBI's taxonomy places the organism in Eukaryota, Metazoa, Chordata, Lepidosauria, Squamata, Cordylidae.